CCCAUUGGCGGCAGCUACACAUGCAGUCGAGCGGUAGCACAGAGAGCUUGCUCUCGGGUGACGAGCGGCGGACGGGUGAGUAAUGUCUGGGAAACUGCCUGAUGGAGGGGGAUAACUACUGGAAACGGUAGCUAAUACCGCAUAACGUCGCAAGACCAAAGUGGGGGACCUUCGGGCCUCAUGCCAUCAGAUGUGCCCAGAUGGGAUUAGCUGGUAGGUGGGGUAACGGCUCACCUAGGCGACGAUCCCUAGCUGGUCUGAGAGGAUGACCAGCCACACUGGAACUGAGACACGGUCCAGACUCCUACGGGAGGCAGCAGUGGGGAAUAUUGCACAAUGGGCGCAAGCCUGAUGCAGCCAUGCCGCGUGUGUGAAGAAGGCCUUCGGGUUGUAAAGCACUUUCAGCGGGGAGGAAGGCGAUAAGGUUAAUAACCUUGUCGAUUGACGUUACCCGCAGAAGAAGCACCGGCUAACUCCGUGCCAGCAGCCGCGGUAAUACGGAGGGUGCAAGCGUUAAUCGGAAUUACUGGGCGUAAAGCGCACGCAGGCGGUCUGUCAAGUCGGAUGUGAAAUCCCCGGGCUCAACCUGGGAACUGCAUUCGAAACUGGCAGGCUAGAGUCUUGUAGAGGGGGGUAGAAUUCCAGGUGUAGCGGUGAAAUGCGUAGAGAUCUGGAGGAAUACCGGUGGCGAAGGCGGCCCCCUGGACAAAGACUGACGCUCAGGUGCGAAAGCGUGGGGAGCAAACAGGAUUAGAUACCCUGGUAGUCCACGCUGUAAACGAUGUCGAUUUGGAGGUUGUGCCCUUGAGGCGUGGCUUCCGGAGCUAACGCGUUAAAUCGACCGCCUGGGGAGUACGGCCGCAAGGUUAAAACUCAAAUGAAUUGACGGGGGCCCGCACAAGCGGUGGAGCAUGUGGUUUAAUUCGAUGCAACGCGAAGAACCUUACCUGGUCUUGACAUCCACAGAACUUUCCAGAGAUGGAUUGGUGCCUUCGGGAACUGUGAGACAGGUGCUGCAUGGCUGUCGUCAGCUCGUGUUGUGAAAUGUUGGGUUAAGUCCCGCAACGAGCGCAACCCUUAUCCUUUGUUGCCAGCGGUUAGGCCGGGAACUCAAAGGAGACUGCCAGUGAUAAACUGGAGGAAGGUGGGGAUGACGUCAAGUCAUCAUGGCCCUUACGACCAGGGCUACACACGUGCUACAAUGGCAUAUACAAAGAGAAGCGACCUCGCGAGAGCAAGCGGACCUCAUAAAGUAUGUCGUAGUCCGGAUUGGAGUCUGCAACUCGACUCCAUGAAGUCGGAAUCGCUAGUAAUCGUAGAUCAGAAUGCUACGGUGAAUACGUUCCCGGGCCUUGUACACACCGCCCGUCACACCAUGGGAGUGGGUUGCAAAAGAAGUAGGUAGCUUAACCUUCGGGAGGGCGCUACCACUUUUGAUAAUGGUCG
This 1446-nucleotide ribosomal RNA is filed under the name Klebsiella sp. WB-7. RNAcentral describes it as "bacterial SSU rRNA". It matches the Rfam family "Bacterial small subunit ribosomal RNA". Lineage: Bacteria; Pseudomonadati; Pseudomonadota; Gammaproteobacteria; Enterobacterales; Enterobacteriaceae. The record is from RNAcentral.